RNAcentral lists this unclassified non-coding RNA (391 nucleotides) under soil metagenome. Its description in RNAcentral is "partial contains 5.8S ribosomal RNA, internal transcribed spacer 2, and large subunit ribosomal RNA". The stretch from base 1 to 122 matches the Rfam family "5.8S ribosomal RNA", at positions 35 to 154 of the family's 154-position model. The record is from RNAcentral.
GAUGAAGAACGCAGCGAAAUGCGAUACUUGGUGUGAAUUGCAGAAUCCCGUGAACCAUCGAGUCUUUGAACGCAAGUUGCGCCCGAAGCCAUUAGGCCGAGGGCACGCCUGCCUGGGCGUCACACGUCGUUGCCCCCCCAUCUACUCCUUCGGGAUUGCGGGGGGCGGAUGAUGGCCUCCCGUGCGCCUCGCCGCGCGGUUGGCAUAAAUGCCAAGUCCUCGGCGACGCACGCCACGACAAUCGGUGGUUGCGAAACCUCGGUUGCCCGUCGUGUGCGGUCGUCGCGCAUCGAGGGCUCGAAAAAAUUGCCGGGUUCCGGCUCGUCUUUCAACGCGACCCCAGGUCAGGCGGGGUUACCCGCUGAAUUUAAGCAUAUCAAUAAGAGGAGGA